AGAGAGACCGGGUCUUAAAUACCCAUGCUAGGAACUAAUGUGCGUCAAUGCACAUGAGCAGCGGGACUACAAUCGGGGUAGGACUGUUUCUCCGGAAAUGUGUCCCACAGGCGAAUGUAUAUUCUGUUUACUUGUGUUUCAGUAACUACAACAUUUUCAAAUACUGGUGUUUACAAAAACAUUAAGAUAAAUACCGGUGUUUACAACAACAUUUUGAUGUAGAGUGUCGAUUUUGAUUAAAAUGUCUCGCUUUAAAGAGCACAUAGAUAAAGUGAUUCGGGGUUAUGAGCGGUACACAGAGUAUGUAAGAAAAAACCCAACUGCAACAGCACAGGUAGAGAGCACAGUCCGGACCAUCUCCUACCUAAUCGCAGGAAGAUUUGCAGAUUCCCAUGAACUAUCUGAACUUGUCUACUCUGCUUCUAAUCUCCUGGUGCUAUUCAAUGACAGCAUUCUGCGCAAAGGGCUGAAGUGUGCCCUGACUGUGUCCAUCUCACAGCAGAGAAUCCUCACCUGGCUCUCAGUGUUGGAAUAUGUGGAGGUGUUCCUGGAGAUGGGCACCCAAAAGGUGUGCGGUGAAGUUGGCUGCUGGCUGGUCAUCGGACUCAUUCAAAUUCUGAAGGCUGUUUUGCGGCUUGUGCUUCUUUUGUGGUACAAAUCAGGAAUCCAGACUUCACCCCCCAUCCUUCCACUUGACAGAGGUGCAGAAAUAGGUGGCGAAGAUGAUGGUAAUGUGGAGCAGCAACAAGAAACCUGCUUUGUGGGCCAGAGGUCAGGACGUGUCAUCAGAUCACUAGGCCGUGCUCCCUUUGUGCAGCCUCUGCAGUGGGGAGCAGCCAGUAAGAAGAGUAGUCGAAACUUGAAGGAAGAGAAGGUCCACACAAAACCGACACCCUUGAGGCUACAGGAGACCAUCGCUGAGACUGUGUACAUCAGUCGACCUCUUGUACAUUCCCCACAGCAUGAUGCUGCUACCACCAUGCUUCGCACUAGCGAUGGUGAUGACCAGUGCCUCUUCUUCUCCAGAUAUGACGCUUGCCAUUCAGGCCAAAAAAUCCUAUUUCGGUUUCAUCAGACCAGAGAAUUUUAUUUCUGCAGGUCUGUGAAUCCUGAAGGUACCUUUUGGCAAACUCCAAGCGGGUUGCCAUGUGCCUUUCAGUGAGAAGUGGCUUCCAUACGGCCACUCUACCACAAAGGCCUGAUUGGUGGAGUGCGUUAUCAAUGGUUGACCUUGUGGAUGGUUCUCCUAUCUCCGCAAGGGAACACUGGCGCUCCGCCUUAGUGACCAUAGGGUUCUUGUUCACCUCUCUGACCAAGGCCCUUCCUCCCCGGUUACUCAGCUUGGUCAGACGGCCAGAUCUGGGAAGGGUCCCGGUAGUUACAAACUUCUUCCAUUUCCAAGUAAUCGAGACCACAGUGCUUUUCGGGACCUUCAAUGCUGCUGAAAUUCUUUUGUAUCCUUCCCUAGAUUUGUGUCUCGACACAAUCCGGUCUCAGAUGUCUGCAGACAAUUGCUUAGACUUCAUUCCUUGGUUUCUGCUCUGAUAUUCACUGCCAACUAUGGCACCUUAUAUAGGUGUGUGCCAUUCCAAAUAAUGUUCAAUCAACUGAAUUUACCACAGGUGGACUCCAUUCAAGUUGUAGAAGCAUCUCAAGGAUGAUCAGUGGAAAUCAGAUGCACCUGAGCUUAAGUUUGAGUGUCUUAACAAAGGGUGUGAAUACUUGUUUCAAUGUUUACAUUUUAUAUAAAUUUACACAAAUGUUUGAAAAUCUGUUUUUACUUUGUCAUUAUGGGAUAUUUUAUGUAGAUGUUUUAAAAAAAUAAAAAAAGUAUACUCAAAUCAGCUUUAGACUAAGUCUAAUAUAGCAAAAUGUGGAAAACGUGAAGGGUGUGAAUACUUUCUGGUGGCACUGUAAAGUUAUAAUCAUAUCAUCAUAUUAGAAUAGAAUAGAAUGGAUACGAAUAAUUCUUUAUUGUUGACCAAGGUGGAAAAUUGUAUUUGGCUCAAAGAGUGCUACAAUACAGAUAUUGACAGAAAUACAACUUAAAAUAAACACAUUAACAACUGAAGUAAGAUAUCAUGACGAGGAAUAAAACUAAAGGUAAAAUGAGUAAAACAUCGGACUGGAGCAGUUAAGGGCAUAAGUGUGGUUGAGUCACUUUUGUUGAGUACAGAAUCGUGGCGGCAUUUGGAAUAAAAUGUUUUUUUUAAAGUGCCUGAGGCCAGUGGAGCUCUGUAGCAUCUUUCAGACUCAAGAGGCUCAAACUUACAGGACAGAGGAUGAGAGCUGUCUGCCAGUAUUCUCUGCGUAUUAUUACAUAUACUGAACAUGAUUGCCCCAUGCAAUUUGUGUAUAUUUUUAACAAUAAAUUGAAUUUGAAAGCUAAAAUUGUGGAAAAUAUUUAGUGGCGAGCAAAUAUUUCAGUUUGGUUGUCCUGUAAGUGAGGUUUCCUGCAUUAAUUGUGUUGACCUCUAGGUGGCAAAGAACUGCAAGCUGACUUGUAUUAAAUUAAAAGGUUUGUCUGAGAGCAGUUAAAUGUAGAAUGGAUGAAUGAUGUCAGUGUCUUCGGAUCUUGACAGUUGCUGUAAAAUCCUGAAUAAAUGUGUUGUUGAUAAGUUUGGGUUAACGUUGAUGCACUUAACUUAAGAACAUUACAAACAAGCCAUGGUCACAUAAGACAAAAUCCUUUACACUACAAGUUAUCAUUUAGAAAACAUUUGAUUGCUCUGUUGAAGCCCUUUUUAGACAGUUGUCCUUAAAGCAUCUUUUCUGACUGCAGUAUUCAGCCUCGGACUGUGCGGAAAACUGUCCUGGAAGCCAUGGCUUGUCUCCGCAGGUCUAGAACUUUCCAGCUUUGCAUUGCUCCAUGAGAGAAUAUU
This is an RNA transcript of Phycodurus eques (leafy seadragon), 2882 nucleotides long. It is a transcript of the gene named peroxisomal biogenesis factor 16, with no coding region annotated. The transcript is spliced from 9 exons. NCBI's taxonomy places the organism in Eukaryota, Metazoa, Chordata, Actinopteri, Syngnathiformes, Syngnathidae. The record is from RefSeq and is a predicted model, not a curated record.